UAAGCGGAGGAAAGAAACUACAGGAUUCCCCUAGUAACUGCGAGUGAAGCGGGAAAAGCUCAAAUUUAAAAUCUGGUGGUCUUUGGCCAUCCGAGUUGUAAUCUAGAGAAGCGUCUUCCGCGCUGGACCGUGCACAAGUCUCCUGGAACGGAGCGUCGUAGAGGGUGAGAAUCCCGUCUUUGGCAUGGACACACCAGGGCUUUUGUGAUGCGCUCUCGAAGAGUCGAGUUGUUUGGGAAUGCAGCUCAAAAUGGGUGGUGAACUCCAUCUAAAGCUAAAUAUUGGCGAGAGACCGAUAGCGAACAAGUACCGUGAGGGAAAGAUGAAAAGCACUUUGGAAAGAGAGUGAAACAGUACGUGAAAUUGUUGAAAGGGAAACGCUUGAAGUCAGUCGCGUCGACCGAGACUCAGCCUCGCCUCGGCUUGGUGUACUUCUCGGCCCGACGGGUCAGCAUCAAUUUCGCCUCUUGGAUAAUGGCGAGGGAAACGUGACACCUUUACGGUGUGUUAUAGUCUCUCGUCGCAUGCAAGGGUCGGGAUUGAGGAGCUCAGCACGCGCCUUUGGGCGUCGGGGCUUUGCCUACGAUACGUGCUUAGGAUGUUGGCGUAAUGGCUUUAAACGACC
Molecule: ribosomal RNA, 625 nt
Filed under: uncultured Russulaceae
Lineage: Eukaryota; Fungi; Basidiomycota; Agaricomycetes; Russulales; Russulaceae
Description: LSU rRNA
Rfam family: Eukaryotic large subunit ribosomal RNA
Source: RNAcentral